RNAcentral lists this ribosomal RNA (309 nucleotides) under uncultured Leptolinea sp. RNAcentral describes it as "bacterial SSU rRNA". It matches the Rfam family "Bacterial small subunit ribosomal RNA", at positions 1059 to 1382 of the family's 1533-position model. Lineage: Bacteria; Bacillati; Chloroflexota; Anaerolineae; Anaerolineales; Anaerolineaceae. The record is from RNAcentral.
CUCGUGUCGUGAGAUGUUCGGUUAAGUCCGCUAACGAGCGCAACCCUCGCUGUGUGUUAUAUGUGUCACACGGGACUGCCGGUCUUAAGCCGGAGGAAGGUGGGGAUGAUGUCAAGUCAGCAUGGCCUUUAUAUCCUGGGCUACACACACGCUACAAUGGCCAGCACAGUAGGUUGCUAAGCCGCGAGGUGGAGCCAAUCCAUAAAGCUGGUCUCAGUUCAGAUUGCAGGCUGCAACCCGCCUGCAUGAAGAUGGAGUUGCUAGUAACCGCAGGUCAGCUAUACUGCGGUGAAUACGUUCCCGGGGCUU